CAUAAGCCUAGAAUACAUAUUCCCAUAAAUAUAUAUAUACUCAAUUACCCAUAAAUAUACUCAAUUAUUAGUAGGCGGAAAGCAGAAAAUAAGUGGCCAGAAGGCAUGCAUGGACAAAAUGUUUACAAAGGGAACAUACAUCAAUAAAAUAUACAUUUGAAGAACUGUUUAUGCAAAUAAUACAUAUCAUUAUGGCGCGCGUAUGGAAGGGUGUGUAGGAAUCUAAGUUAGGGAUGGUCUGGUUUUCUAGGGUUAGUGGAAAGAAGGGAAUUUUGAGAUAUGCCCUGGGAAAGGAUUCUGGGUAGGAAAGAAUUGUGGGAGUUUUAAACUGAAAAUAACUGAACUUCACUUCCUUCUUGGAUUUUAGCUGAGCUGGGAGUGAGUUUUGUCCCUCUGCCUACAAUUUCAAGCUGGAGGAGUUUUGCUCUAAGAGAUUCUCCCUGGAAAGUCGGGAUUUUCGUGGAGAAAUCUUUGGCAUCCAGGUAGAGGGUUUACUUGGAGGAAACUAAUUUCCCUGAGUCCAGUCUUCAUCUGCCAGUGGUCCAUCUACCAGAAUUCCUAUUGGCUAAGGAUCUUUAUUAAUUAUGGAAUGGAACUGGAGAGCAACUUUCUAUAUCUGGUCCAGCCUACCAUCAAUCCCAAUUAAUGGAAUGUGGGAAGACUAAGAAGUCUCUUCCAAGUCAAGUCCAAAAGUUCAGUUUUAAUCAACAUGCUGGGGAACAAAUGAGCUUAGAAAUGGACCAGACUCCAAGGGCAAAAAGGAGAUGAUCAUUACCAGACUUUGGGGAAAACCUUUAUGUUGCAUUCAUCCCUAUUUUCUUCAGUGGUGGGAGAAAAAUGAAGUUAGAAGGGGAACUGGCUAUCAACAAGGUGAAGACUGGACACAGUCCUGAAGGCAUUAAGACCAAAGCCUGCCAACCCGUAGAGAUGGUCAAGGAGUUCAAGGGAAUAGGCAGCUGUGUGGAGUGUGACCUCUACCCUCUAUCAAAGGGCAUAGAUAAGGGUCACUUUGCCUCCUGGUGCAGCGAUGGUGGCCACAUAAAGCUUCCUUUGAAGGUGACUGGAGUCUUGAGCUUGAAUCAGUACCACAGGGAUACAGGGAAAGGCAAGACUCCACUCCCCUGUCAAACUCUGACAAUGUGUGAUAGCGCAGGUGUUUAUGCUCUGUACUACUGUUUGACAAGGCUAAUGUAGAACUGAAUUAAAUAUUAAUUUGUCUAAUAUGUUAGACAUAUAGAAGUAGACAGGGAACACAGCUGGCAAAAUUGCAUUUCUGACUGUUAAGACUACUGUUAUAGUCUUCUUUGUACCUCAUGCUGUUUUCAUACCACUAGACUGAUGUUUAUUUUUACAGGAUCACGCCUGCUGUCAUCCAUAUCAUUACCACCUCAUCUCCUUCUAGGAUAUAGUAAAAAGUAAUCAAUAAUGUAUACUAUAAGAAGGUCUUCAGACGUUAAGUUCUCCCUGUUAUCUCCUGAUAAUAAAUGACUAAAAAAUUCCUUCUAAAAUUCA
This 1512-nucleotide long non-coding RNA is filed under the name Monodelphis domestica (gray short-tailed opossum). RNAcentral's name for it is "lncRNA (ENSMODG00000033255.2)". Lineage: Eukaryota; Metazoa; Chordata; Mammalia; Didelphimorphia; Didelphidae. The record is from RNAcentral.